Molecule: non-coding RNA, 28 nt
Filed under: Mus musculus (house mouse)
Lineage: Eukaryota; Metazoa; Chordata; Mammalia; Rodentia; Muridae
Source: RNAcentral
UNCAGAGUGAAUUCCAGGACAGCCAGGC